CAGCCGCCGCGGUAAAACGAAGGGUGCAAGCGUUACUCGGAAUUACUGGGCGUAAAGCGUGCGUAGGUGGUGGUUUAAGUCCGUUGUGAAAGCCCUGGGCUCAACCUGGGAAUUGCAGUGGAUACUGGGUCACUAGAGUGUGGUAGAGGAUAGUGGAAUUUCCGGUGUAGCAGUGAAAUGCGUAGAGAUCGGAAGGAACAUCUGUGGCGAAGGCGACUAUCUGGGCCAACACUGACACUGAGGCACGAAAGCGUGGGGAGCAAACAGGAUUAGAUACCCGGGUAGUCCCUGUCUCUUAUAA
This 301-nucleotide ribosomal RNA is filed under the name uncultured bacterium. Its description in RNAcentral is "partial 16S ribosomal RNA". It matches the Rfam family "Bacterial small subunit ribosomal RNA", at positions 509 to 809 of the family's 1533-position model. The record is from RNAcentral.